UCCCGUUUGCUACGGGCAGUCUCGCUAGAGAAGUACAACUAGCGACAGGGGUUGCGCUCGUUGCGGGACUUAACCCAACACCUCACGGCACGAGCUGACGACAGCCGUGCAGCACCUCCACCCACGCCCCGAAGGGAAGCCCCCUUUCAGGGGCGGUCGUGGGCCGUUCAAGCCCAGGUAAGGUUCUUCGCGUCGCAUCGAAUUAAAGAACAUGCUCCGCUGCUUGUGCGGGCCCCCGUCAAUUCUUUUGAGUUUUAGCCUUGCGGCCGUACUCCCCAGGCGGAACACUUAACGCGUUGGCUGCGGCACAGAAGGAUUCGACUCCCCCCACACCUAGUGUUCAUCGUUUACGGCUAGGACUAC
This 363-nucleotide unclassified non-coding RNA is filed under the name uncultured bacterium. RNAcentral's name for it is "contains 16S-23S intergenic spacer region". The record is from RNAcentral.